Molecule: small nuclear RNA, 198 nt
Filed under: Centruroides sculpturatus (bark scorpion)
Lineage: Eukaryota; Metazoa; Arthropoda; Arachnida; Scorpiones; Buthidae
Description: U2 spliceosomal RNA
Rfam family: U2 spliceosomal RNA
About the family: U2 is a small nuclear RNA (snRNA) component of the spliceosome (involved in pre-mRNA splicing). Complementary binding between U2 snRNA (in an area lying towards the 5' end but 3' to hairpin I) and the branchpoint sequence (BPS) of the intron results the bulging out of an unpaired adenosine, on the BPS, which initiates a nucleophilic attack at the intronic 5' splice site, thus starting the first of two transesterification reactions that mediate splicing.
Source: RNAcentral
UUAUCUUUUCGGCCUAGUGGUCCCCCAAACUUUGAAAACACAGUAUCUGUUCUUAUCAGCUUGAUAUCUUAUACGGUUUCCAUCGGAGACCUUCGAUAUUAAACUGAUUUUUGGAACUGGGCGAAAUAGGGGGCUUGCUCCUUCCCUGCCACGGGUUGCUCUGGCCUGGCACUUAUUGCCAGAGAUAGCCCACCCCCC